CCUCACAUCCGAUCACGUUGCCUGCGAGUUUUACGGUCCGCCAUACAUAGUGGGAGAAGAGAGGAAUCAGAGCCUUACUGUGUUUUGUAGGCUGGAGUGAGUGGAGCUGAUGUUAAGAUUGUACUUCCGUAGUUUAGAGAAUUUGAAAGAAAAAGGUAAACUCAACAGUGAUGAAAUUGAGGAAGAAGAAACUCGUUUAUCAUUUAUUCUGAGGAACAAAUGAGCUCUUGUGUCGACAAAUUAAGGAUUAUUUGCAGUGGACUCUGGAGCCAGUGAUUUUUUUUUUUUUUUUUUUUUUUUUUUUUUUUUUUUUUUUUUUUUCUCGGUAAGGCCAGGCCUGAAUUCCUUGAAUGAAAUGCUAUCAGUUUGUAUGGUCUGGAAUGAUGUCUUUGCGUUAGACUGCUGAUUAACACUGAUGUUAACUAAAAUCACUGACUGGAUUGCGACUACACGUCUCUUUGAUAUUAAAGCUGGAAUUAAUGUUAAUGGAGGCUUUUCUUUUGACACAGGUGAAGGUGAAUUGGAAGAGGCUAAGGUUUGUAUGUCCCACACCAUGCUCUUAUCUGUAAUGAAUGUGUUUAAUUCUAGACAAAUCGGAGUUAUUUGCCAUGUGUUUUUGUGAGAUGUAUAACUUUAAUAGGGUAAAAGGACAUUUUGUGGUUAAGCAAAAUUCUGUAUGUGUUUGAGUUUGUGCAUAAUAAAACAAAAUGGAUGUC
Molecule: long non-coding RNA, 716 nt
Organism: Megalobrama amblycephala (Wuchang bream)
Lineage: Eukaryota; Metazoa; Chordata; Actinopteri; Cypriniformes; Xenocyprididae
Exons: 2
Source: RefSeq, a predicted model, not a curated record